Long non-coding RNA from Salvia splendens (bonfire salvia), 2869 nucleotides. RefSeq lists it as uncharacterized. The transcript is spliced from 8 exons. Lineage: Eukaryota; Viridiplantae; Streptophyta; Magnoliopsida; Lamiales; Lamiaceae. The record is from RefSeq and is a predicted model, not a curated record.
AUUCACUUAUAAAUAUACAGUAUAUUACAUUCAUUAUAAUUAUUUUAUUGGUACACAAAUUUCAUCAAAGUGAGAGACGCAUUUUUUAUGUGAUUUAUGGGCUUCCAAACCUAAAUUUUAAUAUUUCAUUCUUUUGUUUCAUAGUUAGUUUUUGCUUUGGGAUUUCGAUCCCCUUUUUUGUGUGAGAUUUAUUUUAUGUAGUAUAAAUACUUUGUGUUUCACGUUUUAGCAUACAAACAUUGAUGUUAAUUUUGGAGUUUGUAAUAAAUUUCGUUUUGGUGUAGGCUCCUUUAAUAGACAUACAUAUUGUCCUGUGUUAUGAUUACUUCAGAGAAUUAACUAUUUUGAGAUUAAAUGCAUGGGAAAUGGCCGUUUGACUUAGGAAGGGGCAGUGCCAUGUGACAAUGGGAUAUUAUUGAUUUGCAUGUUUAGCUUCUUUUCUUAUAAAAAAACAAAGCAUGUUUAGCUUUUAGUAGUUAUAACGGUGUCUUAGGAGUCGUUCGCUUAAGGAGAAUUGGCCAGAUAAGACCCCAAUUCUUGCCAAUUACCCCAGGGCUUGCACUAUUCACCAUAAAUGCACCAGAAAGAAAAACUGAAAAAAGAGUGGUAUACAUUUCUGCGUUGAUUUACGGACCAAGAUAUGGAGGUAUGAAAGACUACUUUACCCCUUCUAGAAACAUUUUCUCCCAUUAUUUCCCCAAAAAAUUCAUUUGAACCCUAGCACGACCUCUCAACAUCUACAUCGACGGCGCAACGAUUAGAGCCAAAUUCGUCGUCGCUGGCUGGAUUUCACUUCCCUCUUUUUGCCGAAAUCGUUUGCAGCUUGCCCAAUCUUCGCACAUCUCCCGCAAUACAACUGUCACCGCAUCUCAAAUCCGGAAGGUGAACGGGGCGGACUUCGUUGUGGUAAUCAUGUUGGGGUGGAAGAGCAAGUUGCCAUUAUGGUCGGAGUACUUGCACAUCACAAUAAGAAUCGAGUGGUCAGGUUCACCUUUAGGAGGUCUGGGUCAACAAUUUCACAUUAUGUUAACAAAGUACUUGGGGUAGUUCUAAGUAUGUCUUCAGUUCUCCUCCCUAAACCAAAACUAGUGUUGGUUAACUGCGAUGACCCCCGUUGGAAGUGGUUCAAGGGAUGUCUUGGGGCUUCAGAUGGUACACACAUCAAUGUAUUGCUUAGUAAUGCGGACAAACCACGAUUGAGAUCGUGAAAUGGCCAAAUUUCAACUAACACGCUCGCUGUAUGCGACCGUAACUUGUAGUUUGUUUACUUCUUGGCCGGGGUGGGAGGGGUCAACUGGCGACUCCAGGAUACUCAGGGAUGCAGUUGCUCGUCUAGAGGGUUGAAGGUUGCAUAAGGCACACACUCUAAUACGCAAGGUGAGAACUCUCCCUUCGGACGAUUCGCUGCUCCUCCGGUGACAGCGAGGAAGCUCCCCUCAUCUCCUCCCUGUCUGGAUACCUCUCUACUCACCUACACUCAUCACCAUCUCUCUCCGCUGAAUUGUCGUCGUUGUCGACUGCUCGGCAGUUUCCGUCGCCGGUUUCCGACAAUAUUAGAGUAGACUUGUCUUCCCUUUGAGUAAUCCUGGCCUGAGGGAUAGCACGGGCAAGGAGAAGGCGAAUGAGUAAAGUGAUCUAGUACGGCAUUUUGGAUUUUAAGAUUAGGUGAUCAGACUAGCUCUUUUGCUGUACAGCUGCUCAAGUCGGGUCACUAGCCAAGCUUUUGCGUUGGGAUGUUAUUAUUUGUGCGAUAAUGGUUACUCCAAUAGUAAUGGAUUCCUAACCCCGUGCGAUAUCACCUUCUAGAAUGGGGUCCUGGAAAUGCAACGCCCGAGAACCCUAGAGAAAUGUUCAACAUGCCCCACACCAAAGCCCGAAAUAUGAUUGAGCGUGCAUUUGCAGUUUUAAAAAUGCGGUGGGGUAUCCUCAGGUCUGCUUCAUUUUACCCGAUAAAAACCCAAAUUCGUUUGAUAAUGACUUGCUUCCUACUGCACAACUUCAUCCAUCUUGAGAUGCGAAUUGAUCCUUUCGAAGCUGAACUUGACGGUGAUAGCAUGGUGAUGGCUGAGGAAGAACAAAACAUAGGCCAAGAAUAUGUUGACUGUGUUGAACCAUCUGCCGAGUGGACCUAGAUGCGUGAUGACAUAGCCAUGCAUAUGUGGAACAACAUAUAGAGCUUUUUAUUUUUUCACCCUCUAAAAUAUUGUGGACCUUUGUUAUCUAUCUAAAUACUAUGCAUAUUGUGAUGAAUUACCUACGCGUUUAUUUUGCCAACAUAGUGUCUUGCUUUAUUGCAGCUGUAUGUAUACCGGAUUUCCGAUGUCUGCUACUCUAGAAUGUUCUUGCGGCAAGGGAAAAAUGGAGUUGCGUUAUGCCGGGCCGGCCGCUAAACAUGCUGGAAGGUACUACUACAAGUGUUCCGCCAAUGGACAACACCCGGGUUCCUUCAAGUGGUCUGACUAAUAUCACGCAGACAAACCACGAAAACGGUCAGAUGUGGACCUUCACAAACCUAAGCGGGGAGCGUGGGCAUUCUAAUGCCGAUGCAUGAUGCUGUGGGCUGCAAAGGCGGUGCAGGCCAUUGUUGUGGAAGCAAGUUGUCAAAUCCCAUCGUUGCGCAGGUGUUAAUCGGUUUCAUGUGCAUAGUGUUGGUACUCCUUGGUAUUUUAGUUGGCAAGGUCAUUUAGCAAGUUGCAAGUUUAUGAGUUAUGAAAUUUGUAAAUUAUAAGAACUCCAUGCUUGAGGACCGUGUGUGCCUCCUUUUGUUUUCUCUUUCGGUUGGUAUGGUAUGUACUUAAAACUAGAAUAUUUCUUCAAGUAUGCGUUUUGUAACAUAUUGGAUUUAUAGACUCUAUUAUUUGGGACUGCA